GCCCGGAUAGCUCAGUUGGCAGAGCAGGGGACUGAAAAUCCCUGUGUCCUUGGUUCGAUUCCGAGUCCGGGCAUCA
Molecule: transfer RNA, 76 nt
Filed under: Serratia symbiotica
Lineage: Bacteria; Pseudomonadati; Pseudomonadota; Gammaproteobacteria; Enterobacterales; Yersiniaceae
Description: transfer RNA Phenylalanine
Rfam family: tRNA
About the family: Transfer RNA (tRNA) molecules are approximately 80 nucleotides in length. Their secondary structure includes four short double-helical elements and three loops (D, anti-codon, and T loops).
Source: RNAcentral